ACACAUGCAAGUCGAGCGAUAGAGUGUGCUUGCACACUCGAAAGCGGCGGACGGGUGAGUAAUGCGUGGGAAUCUGCCUAUAGGUGGGGGAUAGCCCGGAGAAAUCCGGAUUAAUACCGCAUAAUACCUGAGGGUUAAAACGGAGGAUCGCAAGACUUCGUGCCUAUAGAUGAGCCCACGUCAGAUUAGCUAGUUGGUAGGGUAAAGGCCUACCAAGGCGACGAUCUGUAGCUGGCCUGAGAGGGUGGCCAGCCACACUGGAACUGAGACACGGUCCAGACUCUGCGGGAGGCAGCAGUGGGGAAUAUUGGACAAUGGGCGCAAGCCUGAUCCAGCCAUGCCGCGUGUGUGAAGAAGGCUUCGGGUUGUAAAGCACUUUAAGUUGGGAGGAAGGUUGCUUGGCUAAUAUCCAAGCGAAUUGACGUUACCAACAGAAUAAGCACCGGCUAAUUCCGUGCCAGCAGCCGCGGUAAU
This 474-nucleotide ribosomal RNA is filed under the name uncultured Gammaproteobacteria bacterium. RNAcentral describes it as "bacterial SSU rRNA". It matches the Rfam family "Bacterial small subunit ribosomal RNA", at positions 51 to 524 of the family's 1533-position model. Lineage: Bacteria; Pseudomonadati; Pseudomonadota; Gammaproteobacteria. The record is from RNAcentral.